Molecule: ribosomal RNA, 253 nt
Filed under: uncultured bacterium
Lineage: Bacteria
Description: partial 16S ribosomal RNA
Rfam family: Bacterial small subunit ribosomal RNA
Source: RNAcentral
UACGAAGGGGGCUAGCGUUGCUCGGAAUCACUGGGCGUAAAGCGCACGUAGGCGGAUUUCUAAGUCAGGGGUGAAAUCCUGGAGCUCAACUCCAGAACUGCCUUUGAUACUGGGAAUCUAGAGUCCGGGAGAGGUGAGUGGAACUGCGAGUGUAGAGGUGAAAUUCGUAGAUAUUCGCAAGAACACCAGUGGCGAAGGCGGCUCACUGGCCCGGUACUGACGCUGAGGUGCGAAAGCGUGGGGAGCAAACAGG